UACCAGCUCUUCGAGUGGUAGGGAUGAUUAUUGGGCUUAAAGCGUCCGUAGCCGGCUUAGCAAGUUUCCUGUUAAAUUCAGCGACCUAAUCGUUGAGCCGCGGGAAAUACUACUAGGCUAGGAGGCGGGAGAGGUCGACGGUACUUCUGGGGUAGGGGUGAAAUCCUAUAAUCCCGGGAGGACCACCAGUGGCGAAGGCUGUCGACUAGAACGCGCUCGACGGUGAGGGACGAAAGCUGGGGGAGCGAACCGGAUUAGAUACCCGGGUAGUCCCAGCUGUAAACGAUGCGGGCUAGGUGUUGGGGUGGCUACGUGCCACUUCAGUGCCGCAGGGAAGCCAUUAAGCCCGCCGCCUGGGGAGUACGGCCGCAAGGCUGAAACUUAAAGGAAUUGGCGGGGGAGCACCACAAGGCGUGAAGCUUGCGGUUC
This 429-nucleotide ribosomal RNA is filed under the name uncultured archaeon. RNAcentral describes it as "bacterial SSU rRNA". It matches the Rfam family "Archaeal small subunit ribosomal RNA", at positions 474 to 903 of the family's 1478-position model. The record is from RNAcentral.